UACGGAGGGGGCUAGCGUUGUUCGGAAUUACUGGGCGUAAAGCGCGCGUAGGCGGAUCUGCAAGUCGGGGGUGAAAUCCCGAGGCUCAACCUCGGAACUGCCUUCGAUACUGCGGGUCUCGAGUCCGGGAGAGGUGAGUGGAAUUCCUAGUGUAGAGGUGAAAUGCGCAGAUAUCAGGAGGAACACCAAUGGCGAAGGCAGCUCGCUGGGACGUGACUGACGCUGAGACGCGAAAGCGUGGGGAGCAAACAGG
Molecule: ribosomal RNA, 253 nt
Filed under: uncultured bacterium
Lineage: Bacteria
Description: partial 16S ribosomal RNA
Rfam family: Bacterial small subunit ribosomal RNA
Source: RNAcentral